CUACAACCUGACCCACCCGCAAAAUGUUGAUGCUCUGGUCCUGAUCAACUGCGCAGUGGGCACCUCAGGCUGGCUGGAGUGGGGGUAUCAGAAACUCAACAUCCACCAACUGAAAGCUGGUACCAUGACUUCCGGUACCGUGGACUACCUCAUGUGGCACCACUUCGGCAAGGUGAAGC
Hyalella azteca is the source of this 179-nucleotide long non-coding RNA. RefSeq lists it as uncharacterized. The transcript is spliced from 3 exons. Lineage: Eukaryota; Metazoa; Arthropoda; Malacostraca; Amphipoda; Hyalellidae. The record is from RefSeq and is a predicted model, not a curated record.